AGUUAUUGGGUAUUAAAACCUAAUAGCGAAAUUAACAUAACUUUAUAAUGGGAUUAGUUUUUAGAUUUUUAAUCUAUUAAUUCAAUCCCGGGGCGUUCUAUAUAGUUAUGUAUAAUAAUAUUUAUAUUAUUUAUACCUCUAACUAGAGCGUACCUUGAGCAUAUAUGCUGUGACCCGAAAGAUGGUGAACUAUACUUGAUCAGGUUGAAGUCAGGGGAAACCCUGAUGGAAGACCGAAACAGUUCUGACGUGCAAAUCGAUUGUCAGAAUUGAGUAUAGGGGCGAAAGACCAAUCGAACCAUCUAGUAGCUGGUUCCCUCCGAAGUUUCCCUCAGGAUAGCUGGUGCAUUUAAAUAUUAUGUAAAAUAAUCUUAUCUGGUAAAGCGAAUGAUUAGAGGCCUUAGGGUCGAAACGACCUUAACCUAUUCUCAAACUUUAAAUGGGUAAGAACCUCACCUUUCUUGGUAUGAAGGUUGUGGUUGUGAUAUAAUGUGCCCAGUGGGCCACUUUUGGUAAGCAGAACUGGCGCUGUGGGAUGAACCAAACGUAAUGUUACGGUGCCCAAAUUAACAACUCAUGCAGAUACCAUGAAAGGCGUUGGUUGCUUAAAACAGCA
This 616-nucleotide ribosomal RNA is filed under the name Ravinia planifrons. RNAcentral describes it as "eukaryotic LSU rRNA". It matches the Rfam family "Eukaryotic large subunit ribosomal RNA", at positions 689 to 1242 of the family's 3401-position model. The record is from RNAcentral. Lineage: Eukaryota; Metazoa; Arthropoda; Insecta; Diptera; Sarcophagidae.